This 1476-nucleotide ribosomal RNA is filed under the name Salmonella enterica subsp. enterica serovar Oranienburg. RNAcentral describes it as "partial 23S ribosomal RNA". It matches the Rfam family "Bacterial large subunit ribosomal RNA", at positions 711 to 2167 of the family's 2925-position model. Lineage: Bacteria; Pseudomonadati; Pseudomonadota; Gammaproteobacteria; Enterobacterales; Enterobacteriaceae. The record is from RNAcentral.
AGACCCGAAACCCGGUGAUCUAGCCAUGGGCAGGUUGAAGGUUGGGUAACACUAACUGGAGGACCGAACCGACUAAUGUUGAAAAAUUAGCGGAUGACCUGUGGCUGGGGGUGAAAGGCCAAUCAAACCGGGAGAUAGCUGGUUCUCCCCGAAAGCUAUUUAGGUAGCGCCUCGUGAAUUCAUCUCCGGGGGUAGAGCACUGUUUCGGCUAGGGGGCCAUCCCGGCUUACCAACCCGAUGCAAACUGCGAAUACCGGAGAAUGUUAUCACGGGAGACACACGGCGGGUGCUAACGUCCGUCGUGAAGAGGGAAACAACCCAGACCGCCAGCUAAGGUCCCAAAGUCAUGGUUAAGUGGGAAACGAUGUGGGAAGGCCCAGACAGCCAGGAUGUUGGCUUAGAAGCAGCCAUCAUUUAAAGAAAGCGUAAUAGCUCACUGGUCGAGUCGGCCUGCGCGGAAGAUGUAACGGGGCUAAACCAUGCACCGAAGCUGCGGCAGCGACACUCAGGUGUUGUUGGGUAGGGGAGCGUUCUGUAAGCCUGCGAAGGUGUGUCGUGAGGCAUGCUGGAGGUAUCAGAAGUGCGAAUGCUGACAUAAGUAACGAUAAAGCGGGUGAAAAGCCCGCUCGCCGGAAGACCAAGGGUUCCUGUCCAACGUUAAUCGGGGCAGGGUGAGUCGACCCCUAAGGCGAGGCCGAAAGGCGUAGUCGAUGGGAAACGGGUUAAUAUUCCCGUACUUGGUGUUACUGCGAAGGGGGGACGGAGAAGGCUAUGUUGGCCGGGCGACGGUUGUCCCGGUUUAAGCGUGUAGGUGUGUGUUCCAGGUAAAUCCGGUUCACUUUAACACUGAGGCGUGAUGACGAGGCACUACGGUGCUGAAGCAACAAAUGCCCUGCUUCCAGGAAAAGCCUCUAAGCAUCAGGUAACAUCAAAUCGUACCCCAAACCGACACAGGUGGUCAGGUAGAGAAUACCAAGGCGCUUGAGAGAACUCGGGUGAAGGAACUAGGCAAAAUGGUGCCGUAACUUCGGGAGAAGGCACGCUGACACGUAGGUGAAGUGAUUUACUCACGGAGCUGAAGUCAGUCGAAGAUACCAGCUGGCUGCAACUGUUUAUUAAAAACACAGCACUGUGCAAACACGAAAGUGGACGUAUACGGUGUGACGCCUGCCCGGUGCCGGAAGGUUAAUUGAUGGGGUCAGCGCAAGCGAAGCUCCUGAUCGAAGCCCCGGUAAACGGCGGCCGUAACUAUAACGGUCCUAAGGUAGCGAAAUUCCUUGUCGGGUAAGUUCCGACCUGCACGAAUGGCGUAAUGAUGGCCAGGCUGUCUCCACCCGAGACUCAGUGAAAUUGAACUCGCUGUGAAGAUGCAGUGUACCCGCGGCAAGACGGAAAGACCCCGUGAACCUUUACUAUAGCUUGACACUGAACAUUGAGCCUUGAUGUGUAGGAUAGGUGGGAGGCUUUGAAGUGUGG